UGGUUCGAUUUCCUCUUCUCAAAGGAACCCCCAACACCGUCGUCGGAGCAGCGGCGGCAGCAAGAGGAGGAGCGAGAUGGCGCAGCCCAGCAAGGAGCCGUGCAAGAAGGAGGCGUGCGACAUCCAGGCCUGCCUCUCCAAGAACCUCUUCGAUUCCAAGAAGUGUUUGAAAGUUAUUCAGUCACUACAAUCUUGUUGUGAGCAAUGCGAGUACAAAUCAACACAUUGUGGUUCUUUGUCGGGCUUGCUCAAAAACAUUUCAAAGUGAUGUAAUAAGACUAUCACUCAAUAAAGGUAAUUUUAGGUUUGCUUGGGAGUUAAUCAGGAUAUCAGUUUCUCUAAUCCAUCAUGUAUGACUGGGAAAAAUAAUAAUGCGCCAUCCUCAACCUGCAGAAAGGUGAUGUGGUUGCUAGUUGUUCGGUGCUGAGUUUGUCAACAUAUUUUUUUAAGAGGGAUACUGAUAUUGCCGUAUACCUGUAUCAUCCUUUGUAUUUCUUAUGCUCAUGUGCAGAUGUAAUUCAAGAAAAUAAGUGAACCCUGGCCUUGUUGUACACCAAUCUGCAUUUAUGAUAUGGGAAGUGUUUUUGAAUUGCA
Molecule: non-coding RNA, 594 nt
Organism: Aegilops tauschii subsp. strangulata
Lineage: Eukaryota; Viridiplantae; Streptophyta; Magnoliopsida; Poales; Poaceae
Source: RefSeq, a predicted model, not a curated record